CUUGUAGGCGGCCAACUAAGUCAAACGUGAAAUCCCUCGGCUUAACCGGGGAACUGCGCUUGAUACUGGAUGGCUUGAGAUUGGGAGAGGGAUGCGGAAUUCCAGGUGUAGCGGUGAAAUGCGUAGAUAUCUGGAGGAACACCGGUGGCGAAGGCGGCAUUUUGGAUCAACACUGAUGCUGAGGAGCGAAAGCCAGGGAGCAAAUG
This 206-nucleotide ribosomal RNA is filed under the name uncultured bacterium. RNAcentral describes it as "partial 16S ribosomal RNA". It matches the Rfam family "Bacterial small subunit ribosomal RNA", at positions 568 to 774 of the family's 1533-position model. The record is from RNAcentral.